This 74-nucleotide transfer RNA is filed under the name Coemansia aciculifera. Its description in RNAcentral is "tRNA-Val". It matches the Rfam family "tRNA". From Rfam's summary of the family: Transfer RNA (tRNA) molecules are approximately 80 nucleotides in length. Lineage: Eukaryota; Fungi; Kickxellomycota; Kickxellomycetes; Kickxellales; Kickxellaceae. The record is from RNAcentral.
GUUUUCGUGGUGUAGUUGGCUAUCACAUUCGCCUCACACGCGAAAGGUCUCCGGUUCGAGCCCGGGCGAAAACA